RNAcentral lists this ribosomal RNA (500 nucleotides) under uncultured bacterium. RNAcentral describes it as "partial 16S ribosomal RNA". It matches the Rfam family "Bacterial small subunit ribosomal RNA", at positions 28 to 507 of the family's 1533-position model. The record is from RNAcentral.
GACGAACGCUGGCGGCGUGCUUAACACAUGCAAGUCGAACGGGCCUGUCUUCUUUUUUGGGGGGUGGGUUGAGUGGCGAACGGGUGAGUAUCACGUGAGUAACCUACCCUUCGGUCCUGGAUAACCGCUUGAAAGGGCGGCUAAUACGGGGUGGUCCGGUUGGUCCGCAUGGGCUGGUCGGGAUAGAUUCACUGUUUUUGGUGUUUCGGCGGGGGAUGGGCUCGCGGCCUAUCAGCUUGUUGGGGGGGUGAUGGCCUACCAAGGCGGUGACGGGUAGCCGGCCUGAGAGGGUGGGCGGCCACACUGGGACUGAGAUACGGCCCAGACUCCUGCGGGAGGCAGCAGUGGGGGGUAUUGCACAAUGGGCGGAAGCCUGAUGCAGCGACGUCGCGUGAGGGAUGGAGGCCUUCGGGUUGUGAACCUCUGUUUCCGGUGGUGAAGGCCCUGUCCGUGUGGUGGGGUUGACGGUAGCCGGGGAUGAAGCGCCGGCUAACUACGUG